UAACGCGAAGAACCUUACCAAGGCUUGACAUAUACCGGAAAGCAUUAGAGAUAGUGCCCCCCUUGUGGUCGGUAUACAGGUGGUGCAUGGCUGUCGUCAGCUCGUGUCGUGAGAUGUUGGGUUAAGUCCCGCAACGAGCGCAACCCUUGUCCUGUGUUACCAGCAUGCCCUUCGGGGUGAUGGGGACUCACAGGAGACCGCCGGGGUCAACUCGGAGGAAGGUGGGGACGACGUCAAGUCAUCAUGCCCCUUAUGUCUUGGGCUGCACACGUGCUACAAUGGCCGGUACAAUGAGCUGCGAUACCGUGAGGUGGAGCGAAUCUCAAAAAGCCGGUCUCAGUUCGGAUUGGGGUCUGCAACUCGACCCCAUGAAGUCGGAGUUGCUAGUAAUCGCAGAUCAGCAUUGCUGCGGUGAAUACGUUCCCGGGUCUUGUACACACCGA
This 443-nucleotide ribosomal RNA is filed under the name uncultured bacterium. RNAcentral describes it as "bacterial SSU rRNA". It matches the Rfam family "Bacterial small subunit ribosomal RNA", at positions 957 to 1393 of the family's 1533-position model. The record is from RNAcentral.